CCUACGGGUGGCAGCAGUGAGGAAUAUUGGUCAAUGGACGCAAGUCUGAACCAGCCAUGCCGCGUGCAGGAAGACGGCUCUAUGAGUUGUAAACUGCUUUUGUACGAGGGUAAAUUCCGAUACGUGUUCCGGUUUGAAAGUACCGUAUGAAUAAGGAUCGGCUAACUCCGUGCCAGCAGCCGCGGUAAUACGGAGGAUUCAAGCGUUAUCCGGAUUUAUUGGGUUUAAAGGGUGCGUAGGCGGUUCGAUAAGUUAGCGGUGAAAUUCCGGGGCUCAACCCCGGCACUGCCUUUGAUACUGUCGGGCUAGAGUUUAGUUGCGGUAGGCGGAAUGUGUGGUGUAGCGGUGAAAUGCAUAGAGAUCAUGCAGAACACCGAUUGCGAAGGCAGCUUACCAAACUACAACUGACGUUGAGGCACGAAAGCGUGGGGAGCAAACAGGAUUAGAUACCCGAGUAGUC
RNAcentral lists this ribosomal RNA (460 nucleotides) under uncultured bacterium. RNAcentral's name for it is "partial 16S ribosomal RNA". It matches the Rfam family "Bacterial small subunit ribosomal RNA", at positions 338 to 795 of the family's 1533-position model. The record is from RNAcentral.